AUGAACGCUGGCGGCGUGCUUAACACAUGCAAGUCGAACGAGAAAUGUAGACGGAAACCUUCGGGCGGAAGCCUCCAUUUCGAGUGGCGGACGGGUGAGUAACGCGUGGGUAACCUGCCUCAUACAGGGGGAUAACAGUUGGAAACGACUGUUAAUACCGCAUAAGACCACAGCAUCGCAUGAUGCGGGGGUAAAAACUCCGGUGGUAUGAGAUGGACCCGCGUUCGAUUAGCCAGUUGGCGGGGUAACGGCCCACCAAAGCGACGAUCGAUAGCCGAUCUGAGAGGAUGACCCGCCACAUUGGGACUGAGACACGGCCCAAACUCCUACGGGAGGCAGCAGUGGGGAAUAUUGCACAAUGGGGGAAACCCUGAUGCAGCGACGCCGCGUGAGUGAAGAAGUACUUCGGUAUGUAAAGCUCUAUCAGCAGGGAAGAAAAUGACGGUACCUGAGUAAGAAGCCCCGGCUAACUACGUG
Molecule: ribosomal RNA, 477 nt
Filed under: uncultured bacterium
Lineage: Bacteria
Description: partial 16S ribosomal RNA
Rfam family: Bacterial small subunit ribosomal RNA
Source: RNAcentral